This is a long non-coding RNA of Cucurbita maxima (winter squash), 527 nucleotides long. RefSeq lists it as uncharacterized. Lineage: Eukaryota; Viridiplantae; Streptophyta; Magnoliopsida; Cucurbitales; Cucurbitaceae. The transcript is spliced from 2 exons. The record is from RefSeq and is a predicted model, not a curated record.
CCCUAAGAGAGGGCAAGAAGAAGAACUCUAAUUUAGCAGUUGUUGAUAGCAGAACGAAACGAAGUCCAAGAAGGAUAAAUUAGGGCAAAGAGGUGGACGAGAGAUCUCAAAGGAGGAGAACUUCCAUUGAAGAACAACAACAAAUCUUGAUAACUCUUGAAUCAUUUAAUCUCUUUUCUUAUUCUACCAAUUUUACAUGAUUAAGAUGUGGAUUCCUUUAUUUAAUUCUGUUUGUAUGAAGAGCUAAAUCUUAUAGGGGAGGCGGAAGAGUUUUAUGUAGUUUAAGUAUGUUGACGAACUGCAGAACUGCUCAUCCACGUGCAUGCGAGUUGACUAGUUGUGAAUGGUUUUAGAUCUUUUGAUUUCGUGAUAUCUUACUACGAGCGUAUACAUGUCAAAUCCCAACAAAAAAAAAAAAAAAAAAUACUUACUGAGUAUUUUUCAAUAUGUCAUCGUGUAUUCAUUUGAACCUCUACAUUAUUUAAGUUGUUAUUCUCGAAUUUCAACCCAAACCUAUAUAUUUUUUU